This 394-nucleotide ribosomal RNA is filed under the name uncultured bacterium. RNAcentral's name for it is "bacterial SSU rRNA". It matches the Rfam family "Bacterial small subunit ribosomal RNA", at positions 8 to 404 of the family's 1533-position model. The record is from RNAcentral.
AGAGUUUGAUCCUGGCUCAGAUUGAACGCUGGCGGCAUGCCUUACACAUGCAAGUCGAACGGCAGCACGGGAGCAAUCCUGGUGGCGAGUGGCGAACGGGUGAGUAAUAUAUCGGAACGUGCCCAGUCGUGGGGGAUAACGUAGCGAAAGCUACGCUAAUACCGCAUACGAUCUACGGAUGAAAGCGGGGGAUCGCAAGACCUCGCGCGAUUGGAGCGGCCGAUAUCAGAUUAGCUAGUUGGUGGGGUAAAAGCUCACCAAGGCGACGAUCUGUAGCUGGUCUGAGAGGACGACCAGCCACACUGGAACUGAGACACGGUCCAGACUCCUACGGGAGGCAGCAGUGGGGAAUUUUGGACAAUGGGCGCAAGCCUGAUCCAGCAAUGCCGCGUGC